Ananas comosus (pineapple) is the source of this 1718-nucleotide long non-coding RNA. RefSeq lists it as uncharacterized. The transcript is spliced from 2 exons. The record is from RefSeq and is a predicted model, not a curated record. Lineage: Eukaryota; Viridiplantae; Streptophyta; Magnoliopsida; Poales; Bromeliaceae.
UUGGUUGUGGGAUAAAUUAUCCCAUUAUUCCUGCCAAACAUGAAAGCUUUUUUUGGGUUUUGGAUAUCCUGGGCUUAACAGGUUAUCCUAGUUAACUCUUAUUUCUCAUAACCUAUGGAAUAGUGUUGGUAGGGCGAUUUAUCCCAGGGGCAGUGGUUGGAAACUGGGUAGCCCUUUUUCAUGUUUGCCAUUGCUGCGCCCACCUACCGCCAUCUCCUCGAUUCUGCUAUUACUUCCUUCUUCUCUUCCCCUCUCACCUCCAGACUCAACUGAUGUAGUCAAUGAAGGAGAUCUGAGCAAGAUCCCCUCUUUCUCCUCGACAUUACUGCUCCAACCCACCUCCGCCUGCUCCCAUCUCCUCGAUUCAACCGUCAUCUUCCUCUUCUCAUCCCCCUCGUGUCAUUCCUUAAAUACGCCUAUUAAGGAGGAAGAUCUGAGCUACUCCACUGGCCUCUUCUACUAUUACUUCUUUAAUUUCUCUCGAUCCUCGAUUCAAACGCUUCCUCCUCUCCACUCUCUCGUCUCCUUUAUCAACAGUGGCUAUCAUUGAACAAAAUCUCAUCCAGAUUUGCCUUUACUGUGGACGGCCCUCUUGAAAUCUUUGAGGCAACACACACCUCUUUGGUUGCCUGGUUGUCUUAUCAAAUCAGCCAUUUACUGCUAUUAUUGGCUCUUCAGGUAAUCCCAUUAUUGUUCAAGUGCUUUUUCCUUAUAAGGUCAGGCAAAUGCAAGGUACAUAUUUUUUCAACUUGUUGCGCUCAAACUCCAGCUUUUUUGUUCCCUCUAAUACUAUUUUCGUGGCUGUAGUACUGUUAUCUGUCGGUUUCCCAGCAUAUUCUAUUGUGAUCAGAUCAGAUUUGAAAGAAAACUAAGGUUGGAAGAUAAGCUAAAGAGAGACGAACUUAUUCUACUAAUCCAUUCAACCUUAAUUGUGGCUAAAACAAGUUUCAGUGGGAUAAGGAAACAAUGGGAAAGCCCCAAAUGAUGAUUCCGAAAUUGUUGGUUCGGAUCUGAGCAUGUUUGAUUCGAUGGAAAGUUUAUAAAAAAAAGGCGAUGAUGUAGGGGAAGGGCAUUGAGGGGUAUCCAUGGCAGGGUAGCAUGUUUUUAAAAUGAUUGCAACCGCCAUGGUUUCGUAUUGAACCUUCCCCCUGAGCCUUAAAUAAAAGAAAUAUCUUAUUUGAGAUCUUUCUUUUCCUGGCUGCAUGUGUUUGCUACAUUUAUAAUCUAACAAUUAUUUUCUAUUACUCUCAUAUGGCUCUUCCCAAAAAGACGGUGCACCCUUUUGCUAAAAAUAAAUCCCCAAUAAUUGAUAUCCCCUCAACCGAUAGCCAAAGUUAGAGUGCUCUAUACAAGAGUCAUCAAAAACUAGAGUUCGAUCUGCGAAUUGGACUGAAAAAAUGAACUCUGCAAUGUUAAACUUAAUGACAGAGGAGUAUACUCUUGAAAAUUUUGUGAAUGAAAGUUUUACCCCGUUGGCAUGGAAUAGGAUAGUUCAUGACUUCAACUAGAGAACCAAUUUAAGUUUUACCAAAGUUCAUUUACAAAAUCGAUUGAAAGUUUUGAAGCGUCAGUAUCUAAUCUAUCAAAAUUUAGCCAACAAAAGUGGAUGGGGGUGGGACUACACACGCAACAUUCCAACAGCCGGUGAUCCAGGAAUCAAUCAUAGCAGUAUGUUUUGUUAUGUUACAACUUAGUUAUAAAAUCUCUGUUUUGACUUA